UAGGGAAUCUUCGGCAAUGGGGGGAACCCUGACCGAGCAACGCCGCGUGAGUGAAGAAGGUUUUCGGAUCGUAAAGCUCUGUUGUUAAGGAAGAACGAGUGUGAGAAUGGAAAGUUCAUACUGUGACGGUACUUAACCAGAAAGGGACGGCUAACUACGUGCCAGCAGCCGCGGUAAUACGUAGGUCCCGAGCGAUGUCCGGAUUUAUUGGGCGUAAAGCGAGCGCAGGCGGUUAGAUAAGUCUGAAGUUAAAGGCAGUGGCUCAACCAUUGUAGGCUUUGGAAACUGUUUAACUUGAUUGCAGAAGGGGAGAGUGGAAUUCCAUGUGUAGCGGUGAAAUGCGUAGAUAUAUGGAGGAACACCGGUGGCGAAAGCGGCUCUCUGGUCUGUAACUGACGCUGAGGCUCGAAAGCGUGGGGAGCGAACAGG
This 429-nucleotide ribosomal RNA is filed under the name Bacteroidota bacterium. RNAcentral's name for it is "Bacteroidetes bacterium partial 16S ribosomal RNA". It matches the Rfam family "Bacterial small subunit ribosomal RNA", at positions 355 to 776 of the family's 1533-position model. The record is from RNAcentral. Lineage: Bacteria; Pseudomonadati; Bacteroidota.